Molecule: long non-coding RNA, 682 nt
Organism: Poecilia latipinna (sailfin molly)
Lineage: Eukaryota; Metazoa; Chordata; Actinopteri; Cyprinodontiformes; Poeciliidae
Exons: 2
Source: RefSeq, a predicted model, not a curated record
UGUGGCCACAUUUACAAUGGUUAGCCUUUUUUUAGAUAUUAGCAGAUCAAUGCAUCUGCCUUACCGGAACAACAUGUCUUUCUUAACAUGAAAAGAGGCAAACAGAAAUGGUCAAAGUCAUAUUUAUUUACCCGUCAUGGCUUACUAAUUAAAAGCUUCUACACACAAGUAUAAAUUAAAAAGCUUAAUUUCCAUUUCUUUUAAUAGGAUUCUUAGGGGUGCAACUAAUUGUGGCUCUGUAAUUUCGUAAAACAACAAAACAAAAACAAUUGUUUCUUAAUUUGUUUUUUUUCCCUCACUAAACAAAUGCAGCCAAAUUAAAGGCAGAAAUGUUCUGUGUUUAAUUAUGCUAAUGGAACAAAAGACUGAAUUAUUUUAAACCUUCUCACACGUCUUUACCAGGAGUGGCAUUUAACAAGUGGGGUGCGCUAAGUGGCUGUUUUUAAUAGCCGUACUUUGACUUAUGAAGAGCAACACCUCUACCUUGAAUGCUAUGUUUGCUUGUCUUUCCCACUUUGAAGGAUUGAGAUGCUAAUCCAAUUAACAUCGGGGUCGAAAGGCAUCUCAUCACCUAUCCUCCUCUUCCGGAUGUUUUCCCAUGACCAGUGGCUUCCUCAAAGACUCAGUGAAAAUCCACUUGGCAUCCCAAGUGUAGCGUGAAGUAAAGGCCAUGCUAACAUUA